AUGCAAAGUUGAGAUUUAUUUAUACCAAAGGCUUCCAAACUCUGAUUCUGAAUGGCUUAAGAAGAUUGUCCGCAACAAAGUAGUAGCAAGUGUUGAUGCUCUUCUCAAUGAAAUAAAACCAUGCUCGCCGCCAGUCUGGGUUUAUGUACAAAACUGCAGCUAUUCCCAACAGCACCAUGAUGUACGUCACAACAAAGCUCACACAGAAAACUUGUGCAUCAAUGAUGACGCUACUCUCUUCUUUCUCAUCAGUAGAAGGCCCAGGUGGUGGUGGUGGUACUUCUUUGGUGCAAUUGUUAAGCAGUGGUGGUCCACAAAGUAAGGGAUUUCCCUCGUAGCUGCUCUUAUUGAAUGUUGAGAAUUGUGCAACCAUCUCAGGAGUCUUACCAGACAGGUUAUUGUUGGCUACACUAAAAUAGGCAAGAAAAUGCAAUUGUACAAGUUGAGGAGGGAUUUCCCCAUUCAAGCUGUUAUUGGAAAGGUCCAUGCUCUCAACUUCACUCAAAUUUGAAAGAGUUUGUGGGAUUGGGCCUAUUAAAUGAUUGUUGGACAGGUUCAAUACACGAAUGUGGUUGAGAUUCCCAAUUUCAGGAGGAAUCGCACCUGACAAACUGUUGCAGGAGAGAUCCAAUCCGGUCAUGUAGUACAAAAUACUUGGCGGAUAAGAAUAAGACAGACUCUUUGUUGCAAUAACCAAUGGUUCUCGAAGAGAAUACAUAAAGAUAUGCUUCGCUAGAGAUGAACCAAAUACUGCUUUUAAAUCUUAGGCAAGGUAGAAUAUGACCAGAAAAAUUAUUAUGAGAAAGAUCAAUGAAGCUUAAUUUGUUCAACUUGCACAAUUGCGUGGGUAUACUGCCAUCAAGAUUAUUAUAACCCAAGAGAAGAAAGCUCAGUUGGGAAAACUCACCAAUCCAUUUUGGAAUGCUACCAGUCAAAUGAUUAUGGCUAAGAUCCAACGUUAUUAGCUCAAAGGAUUUCUGAAAUGCAUGUUCUAGGGAUCCUUGUAGCAUAUUUCGUGACAGAUAAACAUGCAGGAGGUUUGAAGAGUUAAAGAAAGAUGGUAAGGUUCCAGAGAUGUUGUUAUUUGAGAGGUCCAAAACUUGAAGAUACAACAGAAAGUCAAAUGAAGAGGGAACGCGACCACUGAAGUGGUUAUCAGACAUGGAUAAAAAUGUUAAAUUUGGAAAAUAUGAUCCUAUUUCUCUAGGAAUGUGGCUUUCGAAGUUAUUGUUAGAAAUAUCUAAUUCAGACAAAUUCUGAUGAGGAUGAAUUGGCAAUUGAAAAGUCCCUGAAAGAGAAUUGUUGACCAAAUGGAGUUCAUUUAGGUUUGUGUUGUUCUCUAACAACCAAAUAGGAAACCCUCCCCUCAAUUUCAGGUUAGAAAAAUCAAUUACUUGGAGGCUGUAUUGAUGGAGGAGGAAUUUGGGAAAGGAAAAUGCUCCACCAUAUCCAUUGCCAGAUAAAUAAGACCUCUAAUUGGAACUUUGGGGCCAAAUUAUGCUCCUCUAAUUCUUCAACAUAUAUUUCGUUAUUGCUACCAUCGAAAUACUUGAGUUGUGAAUGGUUGAGAAAUGAGCUCAAUGAGACGGGGAUCUGAAAGUGGUUGUCUAAAAGUGAUAACUCUCGAAUGGAUGUGAGACUUGUAAGAGGAGAGAAGGAAAUGUCUCCCAUAAAGUUAUUGGAAGACAAAUUUAAUUGUUGAAGGGAUGUCAAAUUUGCCAAACACCAAGGCAAAGCACCACUGAGAUCAUUCCCGUUGAUAUCUAGAUUUUGAAGAUGCUUUAACUGACAUAGGCCUGAGAAUUUAUUGAUUCAUAAAAAUUUUAGUUAGAGAAGAAGCAGAACGCCAAAGGAGGGGAAAGGUGGUCAGACUUACCUUGGGCUUUAGGGAUGGAGCCAUUGAGUCGACAACCAUACAAUCUUAAACUCUUUAGAGUAGUAAUAUUCCCGACUGUUUGUAGAAAGCUAUUAUCGAUAGUGGAGGAACUCAAAUCCAACUCUUCUAAAUUCUUGAGAGAAGCCAAGUCUACAAUAAUCAAACCCACAAGAAAUUAUGCUCGGUAUUCAAGAGCCGGAUAAUGAUAAGGAAACAAAGAUGAUGAAACCAACAAGAAGCUCCAUUAUAAUGAUAAGGAAACAAGAUGAUGAAACCAACAAGAAGCAGAACGCCCAAGGAGGGUAAAGGUGGUUAGACUUACCUUGGGCUUUAGGGGUGGAGCCACUGAGUCGACAUCCAUCCAAUCUUAAACUCUUUAGAGUAGUAAUCUUCCCGACUGUUUGCAGAAAGCUAUUAUCGACAGUGGAGGAACUCAAAUCCAACUCUUCUAAAUUCUUGAAAGAAGCCAAGUCUACAAUAAUCAAACCCACAAGAAAUUAUGCUCGGUAUUCAAGAGCCGGAUAAUGAUAAGGAAACAAGAUGAUGAAACCAAUAAGAAGCUCCAUUAUAAUGUCCCCACUACAAUCAAUUAAAUUCCUAUACUAGGCAAAUAUGAUUUAAAGCACGUUUACAAAGAAAAAAAGAACAAUUAACAGAUAUUCAGGUUCGCUUUUAGGCAUCAAUACCACAAAUUACCUUUAUCUAAUGUUGUUCCGAAACUUCCUUGAAGAUUAUUCUCAUCCAAAGAAAGGGUCUUGAGGUUUGGGAAUUUCGUCAACGAUUGCAGCAAUGCAAAUGGAAGAGCUCUUCCAUUUAAGGUGUUAUUAGAUAAUGAAAUGAGGCUUACAUUUCCAAAACCUCUAGUAUCUACAGGGGACAGCAGAAGUAAAACAAAUUUUAAAACCUUCUGAGCUUUUAUUCUUGAGCAAAAUCAUCCGCGAAAAUACAAUUCAAUUAAUGAGAUUUUAGGUUGAUUAAGCGGUAAAGCUACCAUCAAUCAGUGUGGAAAGCAAUCAAUACCUUUGGAUAACAUAAAUUUGUCAAUCUUGUUUCCCGCUAGAUCCAGGCUCUCUAAGUUGAUCAAAGCAUCCAGCUCUAGGUUGUCGAAAAACAGAAAUUUAAUAUUACAUCACAGCAAAAAUCACAGAUUGGUUUCUAGGAAUCGAAAAAGGUGAGGUUACCAGUCACAUUGAAUGAUCCUUUCAGUUGGUUGUACCCUAUAUCCAGGGAUUUGAGAGAUGAAAGACCCUUGAGGGAUGAUAAGGUACUGUCAUUGAAGCGAUUACCAUUCAAAACAAGGUAUUCCAGAUUUCUUAACCUCAGUAAGCCGUCACCAGUACCUAUAAAAAUACAAUAAGCUUUCAUGUAACCUGAAAGGAUAAUGGAGUACUUAUGUGUGAAAACAAAUGCUCAAUCAACUCACAACUCUUUCAUACCAUGAAUGGAUUUAAAGCUUUCAAUUUCAUUGCCACCAAAAUCCAACGACUGCAAGCUUGUUAGAUUAUUCAGUUCUGGCCAAAUAUAAUUGUAUCAAGUACAACAAUUAAAAAAAGGGCAGUAAUUAACAUUGUUUUAUUUGGGAAAGAAAAGGAGAGAAGUGAUCAAGCUUAAUUACCAUCAACACUAAUUGCUCCUUUGAGUUGGUUACCAGAUAGAGACAGGGUUCUCAAAGAGGAAAGCCCACCAAGGGAUGAAAGGAUGCUGUUGUCGAAUUUGUUUCCGCCUAAAUCGAGAUCCUCCAAGCUGUCAAGUCUUUCAAAACCUGCAUGGGCAUUUCAAUCAGUAGCUUGAAAAAUAUAGAAUCUAUCCUGUUGAAAAACCUGCAUGGGCACGCAAACAAGAGAUAAACCUUCAUUCUCAACACAGCCAACUAUAAAAUUUCCAGUACCUAUAAAAAUGCCAUAAGCUUUCAUGUAACCUGAAAGGAUAAUGGAGUACUUAUGUGUGAAAACAAAUGCUCAAUCAACUCACAACUCUUUCAUACCAUGAAUGGAUUUAAAGCUUUCAAUUUCAUUGCCACCAAAAUCCAACGACCACAAGCUUGUUAGAUUAUUCAGUUCUGGCCAAAUAUAAUUGUACCAAGUACAACAAUUAAAAAAAGGGCAGUAAUUAACAUGGUUUUAUUUGAGAAAGAAAAGGAGAGAAGUGAUCAAGCUUAAUUACCAUCAACACUAAUUGCUCCUUUGAGUUGGUUACGAUAUAGAGACAGGGUUCUUAAAGAGGAAAGCCCACCAAGGGAUGAAAGGAUGCUGUUGUCGAAUUUGUUUUCUUCUAAAUAGAGCUCCACCAAGCUGUCAAGUCCGGAUAGUCUUUCAAAACCUGCAUGGGCAUUUCAAUCAGUAGCUUGAAAAAUAUUUUCUUUUUUUUACCUAUUGAAAAAAGUAGCACGCAAACAAGAGAUAAACCUUCAUUCUCAACACAGCCAACUAUAAAAUUUCCCCUUAAAUAAAGAGAUUGCAGUUCUUGGAAGGGACGAAACAAAGAGACAUUUAGGUACAAAUCUCCCAAUCCCUCUUCCCUUAUGCCUCCAAGACUAAGUUCGACAACUCGUCCUGUAGUGAAAUUGCAGUAAACGCGUUCCCAAGAACAACAGUCGGCUACUUUCCCCCAAGAUUGAAGGAAGAUUGAGUAAUUAUUAAAGGAGCUUUGAAUCCGCAAGAGAGCACUUCUCUCUUCGUCUAAACAACCGUGACAUGACCACCAGCUUUGUGACAAAACCAUAGCAUAAAUCAUCAGUGUCCCUGCUAAAGAAGAGAACCUGUUUAAACCCAUUUGGACUCCUCGAUGAAAUUAUGUAUCGAAAAACAACGGUCAGAGGCUCUUUAUAAAUAAGAUCGUUGGACUGCAAUUUGCAAUAUCACAAUCAAAUGUCAUAAUUUUCCACUGGCCAUAGACAAAGUCCUCUCUUUCGGCUUAUUUUCCAAAUUCAUAUUCUUCGUGGAAAGUGCUAGGCUGUUAGCGUAUCCUCCGUAACUUGGGACUAGGCUGGUAUGAGGUUGGAAGGAUUUUAAACAAGUUGCUAUUUUAACUUUAAUUUAAUAAUAAAUAAUAAAUAUGAUGGGUACAAAGGGGAGAAUAUACAUGAUAAACUUUUUUUGUUUUCUACAAUAAUAGCGACAUAGACAAAUGAAAUGGUCAUCGCAUGCAAUGUCUUCCCUACGGAAAAAACAGUGCCAUCAGUGUCAGUCUUGUUAAUGGUAGUAGAAAAUUCAAAGAGUCUUGCAGUGAAGAUUUUUAAUCAUUUAGGUUUCACUAAUCGUUUUUUUAAUCAUAUAUAUAUAUGUAUAUAUAUAUAUAUUUUAUAAACGUUCAGUCUGAAGUAGGUAUUAAAAUAAUAUGAUGUUGAGCCAAAUUGAAUUUAAUAAUAAUAAUAUAAUCACCUAGUUAAUAUUGUAUUUUAAUAUAAAAUGCAUGUUUGAUAUUAUAAUGUAAAUGUUUUUUUACUUAAAAAUAUAUUAAAAUAUUUUUUUAAUUUUUUAUAUUUUCAAUAUUAACUUAUCAAAUAAUAAAAAAACAAUAAAAAUUAAAUUAAUAUAAUUUUGAGUCAAAUUGAAUUUAAUAAUAAUGGUAUAAUUAGUUAAUUAAUAUUGUAUUUUAAUAUAAAAUAAAUAUAUGAUAUUAUGGUGUAUAUAUUUUUUACUUGAAAAUAUAUUAAAAUAUUUUUUAAAAUUUUUAAUAUUAACUUAUCAAAUAGAAUUUUUUUUUUUCAUUUUAACAAGACUGCAACUUUGUCCUUGCAGCGAAGCUCUCCAGUUUGCAAUAUCAUAAUCAUAGUUUUAAAACCCGUACCGGCCCUGCGGGUUGACCCGGGACCCGGCCGACCCGGGCAUGAGACCGGUCCGGGUGGAGGCCAAAACCCGGUUGGGAAUUGGCCCGGCCCUACCUGGUCGACCCGGGACCCAUCAAGACCCGGCCUCAAACUCGUUGAUUUUUAUUUUUUAUUUUUUAUUUUUACUAAAACGACGUCGUUUUGAUUUUUUCAAAGAAAAAAUUUGACCCGGCUGACCCGGUCAAAACCCGGAACCCGGGCCUUGGACCGGACCGACCACCGAGCCGGGUCUUAAAACUAUGAUCAGUCUUAAAACUAUGAUCACAAUCAAUUGUCAUAAUUUUCCAUAGACAAAGUCCUCUCUUUACAGCCCCACCGCGCGACUUGGGACUAGGCUGGUAUGAGGUUGGAAGGAUUUUAAAUAAACAGGGGAAAUUAAAUUCCGGGUGAUUUAACUAGUUGUUGAGCUAGUUAAAAUUCACUGAUAAUUUUUUUUUAAUUAAAAUAAUAUAAUUUUAAUUUAUAAAAAAAAUUAAAGCUGAUUUAGGUCGAUCACAGGCGGGGUUGGAAAUCUGUGAUUGCCUCAACACACUUGAUGGGGAAAAUUGGCCCCCGUUAAUUUCUUUAACAGCUUAAGGAAACCCUCAUAGUUUAGUGUUAGUUUAGUUUAGCCCUUCAUGUUUAUAAUAAAUAGCCCUUCUUGAAAUUGUCCUCUUUUCUAGAUUUAUUAUAUUCCAAAAAUUAAAAAUCCAUAUCAUUUGGCGAAAAUUACAACCCAUUUAUGGCUUAUUUAUGUUUUUAAAUAAUUUUAGAAUUGCAGAAAUUUAGUAUGGAUCUUGCUAAGAUUUUUACCCCUCUAUGAUUUUAUUUUCUUACCAAUUUAAACCCAUAUAAUGGCAAACUAGAAAUAGAUCAUAGAUCUAGGGGAAAAGUUUUAAUAAGUUUUUCAAAAAGGGUAUAUAAAUAAAAUUAUUUAUGUGAUAAUUAAAGUUCUCUCAAUCAAAAAAUUUAUAGAGGGUGGUGACUAUCCCCUCCAAUUCUCCAAACUCACAUUGAACCCACUUAACCCUUGCUUUAUCCAUCAACACCUUUAAAUUUUUUUUUCAAAGACUAUAUCGUAUCUUAUAAAUUGGGUUGUUUUCAAGAGAAACGCACAAAUAAUUCAUUUAAGUUUUAUAUCAGAAUUUUUGUGACCAAUUCCUCUUCUUAUGGCUGGAUAUGAAUGAGUUUGUAUUGUGAUACGAAAACCCGGAACAUAUAGAAAAAAAUAAUGUUUUACGGUAUAUUAUUUUGCGUGUGAAUAUUUUUUUACUUUUUUUGUUUUCUACAAUAAUAGAGAAAUAGACAAAUUAAAUGGUCUUUCUAUGCAAUGUCUUCCCUACGGCAAAGAUAGUGCGCCAUCAAUAUCAGUCUUGUUAGUGGUCGUAGAAAAUGACAUCUCAACAACACAUAAACAAGUUGCUAUUUUAACUUUAAUUUAAUAAUAAAUAAUAAAUAUGAUGGGUACAAAGGGGAGAUAAACUUUUUUUGUUUUCCACAGUAAUAGAGACAUAGACAAAUGAAGUGGUCAUCGCAUGCAAUGUCUUCCCUACGGCAAAAACAGUGCCAUCAGUGUCAGUCUUGUUAAUGGUAGUAGAAAAUUCAAAGAGUCUAGCUACGAGUGAAAUCCUUCGCUUUGUGGACCAAAAGCUGCAGUGAAGAUUUUUAAAAUUUUAGAUGUGUUUAUUUUUUAUAAAGUGAUUUUUGAGAAAUUAUGUUUUUAAAAUUUUUUGUAUUUGUUUGUUAUUAAAAAAGAUGGUCAAUAAAAAAUACUUUCUGGUCAAUAAAAAAUACUUUCCACUUAAAAAAUUUAACUUGAUUUCUAUCAAAGUGUUUUUCUUUUAUUUUGAGUGGAAAACACUUUUUGAAAAUUGUGAAAAAAUUAGAAAUGUCAUAUUAUUUGCUGAUUAUAUCAAAUUUGGUCCUCAAACUUUUAAUUGCUAUAUAUAUUUUGUUUUGAAUAUUUGUUUUUUAAUUUCAUCCCUUAGAAUUUAAUUUUUAUAUUAACUUUGGUCCUCAUUUUUAUAAUUGCUAUUUGAUUUUCCCUUAUCAUUUUUUAAUUAAGGUUUUUCAUCUAUCAAAUUUGGUCCUCAUUCUUUUGAUUGUUACUUAUUCUAUUUGAAAUAAUUUAUGAAAUGUUAAUUAUUAUUAUUUUAAUUUCUUCAUCUUUCAAUUUUUUUUAUUUUUUAGAUUUGAUCUCUAUUAUUUUGAUUAUUAUUUAUUUUAUUUGAGAUAAUUUAUGAAAUUAUAUUUUUUUCAAUUUUAUUCUCAUUCAACUUUUUAAUUUGUAAGAUUUGUUUCUCGUUAUUUUAAUAAAUUUGAGAAAAAUAAAAUAUUAAUAAGUUAUUUUCCAACUCAUUUUCCAUGACAUAACCAAACACUGGAAAGUGUUUUCCAACUUAUUUUUCAUCACACUACCAAAUAUCAGGAAAUACUUUCUCGGAAUUCACUUUUCCGAAAUUCUCUUUCCUUGGAAUUCACUUUCCAAAAAAAAAAAUUACUUUCCAGCAAAUAAACGAUGCCUUUUUAUAUAUAUAUAUAUAUAUAUAUAUAAAAGUUCAGUCUAAAAUAGGUAUUAAAAUAAUAUGAUGUUGAGCCAAAUUGAAUUUAAUAAUAAUAAUAAUAAUAAUAAUAUAAUCAGCUAGUUAAUAUUGUAUUUUUAUAUAAAAUGCAUGUUUGAGAUUGUGAUGUAAAUUUUGUUUACUUAAAAAUAUAUUAAAAUAUUUUUUAAAAUUUUUAUAUUUUCAAUAUUAACUUAUCAAAUAAUAAAAAAACAAUAAAUUUAAAAUAAUAUGAUCUUAAGUCAAAUUGAAUUUAAUAAUAAUGUUAUAAUUAGUUAAUUAAUAUUGUAUUUUAAUAUAAAAUGAAUGUAUGAUAUUAUGGUUUAAAUAUUUUUUACUUGAAAAUAUAUUAAAAUUUUAAUUUAACAAGACUGGAACUUUGUCCUUGCAGCGAAGCUUUGUUUUAUUUUUUGUUUUAUAUAUAUAUUUUUUAUAUAUAACGUUUCUACCAAGCAAAGUUGAGAACGAAUCAUUUCUUUUCAUUUAUGCUUUGUAGAUUAGUUCCUUUACUAGUCAUAUAGUCCCAUUAUAUUAGUGUUAGAGGACGGUUUGAAACAUUAGUUUAAAAAAACAUUGAUGGUGGCUAUUAAGAGCAUGUUUAUUUUUUAUUUUUAAAAAAAAUAUAUUUUUUAUUUUAAUUUAUUUUUUAUAAUUUUAAAUCAUUUUGAUAUAUUAAUACUAAAAAUAAAUUAAAAAAAAAAAAAAAUAUUAUUUUAAUAUAUUUUUUAAAUAAAAAAUAAACUCGUGGAAUUCAAUUCCACGCUAUCGACCCUGUGGUUUGGAUGGAAUUGGUCGUCGUCAUCACAUGAUUUUCCAUAUGUAAUAAAGUCUUCUUUAUUUGGCUUUUUGUCCCAUUGAUUCUUCGAGGAAAUUCCCAAGUUUUUGCUUUACAUCAAUAUUAAUUCAAUGGCUGGUAACACACAUGACUCUCGUCUCUCUGUUACGUUCUUUUUACUUUUCGCUGUGGUUUUUGAACCCUAUCCAAGGUUGAUCUGCAGCAAAUCUUGGAUUGUGGGUCAGGUGAAACUUGAGAAGGUUAUUUAUCAAGAAAUUCUCAAAUCCUACCAAUGUCAAUUCUAACUUAGCAACAUCGUCUUUUUAUUUGUUAAUAAUAUAUUUAAAUAAAAAUCAAGAUUCAAAUUAAUUUAAAUAAUAUAGUUAAAUGAAAAGAAGAUUUCAAUUAAUUUCACUCUUUCUUUCAUUUUUUUUCUUUCAAAACCUUCACCAUGCUAAUCCUUCUGAUCAGCUAUCAUGUCUCCCUUCUUUGAUAUUGUUAUCAAAUAGCAAAAGUGCAAAUAAUCAUGCUCUUGGAGAUCAAAAUUAUCCUACAAAUCAACAAUUCCAUUCAUAUAGGAUUUUAAAUUUUCUUGUUUCAAAGUUCUUGUUCAAGAUUUUAAUGAUAAAAUUGAUAAAAAAAGUGUAUAUUUGAUAUGCUAGUGACAAAAUGUAUAGGCAAUUUUUAUAAUAUAUAUGUUGGUUCUUUAAAAAAAAAAAAACAAUUAUAAUAAUCUAGAAGAUGAAAUCCCAAUCCAGUUGUGCAAGUUAGAGGAAUUGAGUUUGAUUGAUCUGUCUCAUAAUAAUUUAUAUGGUCAUAUUCUUCCAUGCCUAAAUUCUAGCAGUAAUUGGCAGAGGGAACAUGAAGCAAUUUCAAAUCCUUCUGGAAUCGCUUCAGCACUUGAAUCGGUAAUCCUAUCCCCAUGGAAGACCCUUCUCUUCAGACAUCUUUAGAUUUUAAAACAAAGAGUAUAUGCUACUCCUUCAAGGAAAUGAUUCUCACUUACCUCUCUGGUAUAGACCUCUCCUGCAAUAAUUUUAUAGGCGAGAUUCCUUUUCAACUUGGAUACCUUAGCAAUAUCGAGGUGUUGAAUAUGUCCUUUAACAGUUUAGCUGGUCCAAUCCCACUGACAUUUUCAAACCUGAAGGAAAUUGAAAGCAUGGAUCUUUCCUACAACAAUUUGAAUGGGAAAUUCCUCGUUAGCUACUUGACUUGCAUUUUCUAUCUUUUUUUAGUGUAGCAUACAAUAACUUAUCUGGCAGAACUCUAGAUAUGGUUCCACAAUUCUCAACAUUCAACGAGUCUAGCUACGAGGGAAAUCCUUUGCUUUGUGGACCAUCACUCCCCAAAAGUUGCACUGAAGUGGUACCACCAUCAGCGUUGCCAAGGACUCAGACUGAUGAAAAAGAAGACAAUGGCUUCAUAGAAAUAGAGGCUUUCUAUGUGAUAUUCUCAGUGUCAUAUAUCCUGGUCUUGUUGGUAAUAGGUGCAGUUCUGUAUAUAAACCCACGUUGACGACGAGCAUGGUUUUACUUCAUAGAGGAGAGAAUCAAUAAAUGCUAUUACUUUCUGGUAGACAAUCUACCUGUGUCAGCCAGGUUCAAAGGAUUUCAGCCUUGUGUGCAAAAUGGUAUUGGCUUUAUGUGUAUUCUGUUUGGUGUCUACAUUUCAAAAUCAUGAUUGAUCAAUAAAUUAGUCUUAUAAUAAACGGAGUAAAUAAAUGUUCAAAACACUUUGCUCUUGCAGGAAAGCUCUGCUUUUUUUUUUUCUAACGUUUCUACCAAGCAAAGUUGCAACAGAACGAAUCAUUUCUUUUGAUUAUGCUUUGUAGAUUAGUUCCUUUACUAGUCAUAUAGUCCCCACCUUCCUUGGAAUUGAGGAUUUGUUAAAACUACUUACUUUCUGAUGUUUGAAAGAGAAACGAGUUCCAGGACCCAAAGGCAUGGACAAGACAACAAUGGUUGAUUUUUGUUGUGUGCUUUGAUGAACCUUGUGGGGCCCAGUAGCAACUAGCAGCUAUAUUUGCAAGAAAAAUAGAGUUUUGUACCUUUCCAAUGGUGCAAUUCUCUUGUGCAAUUUGGAGAUUUCUGUUGCAGAUGUGUGGAAUUUGCAGACAUGUGGGUGAUUGACAAGCUGAAAUUCAUGGGACAAUGUUAAAUCUCCAGAAUAUUUUGCUUCCGAGACUUAUUUGCCAGUUGUUAUUUUGAAAUUUAUGCUAGCUUAUAUUUCUUCAAUUUAUUAUUUGAAUCAAAACAGAAUAGAUUCCAUCUGUUUUUUGAAUUCAAAUUAAACAUAAUGCUACCUAUAUAUACCACUAGAAGAAUGUGUGCAAUUCUCAUCAUUUUCCUGAUUUUAAAACCUAUAGCUAUUAUACAAUUAUCUCUGCCACUCAACUGUAUAUGGAGCUAGGAAUGAAAGAAACAGCAGAGUUCAUGAUGAGACUAGCUCCAGAAGCUCAGGUCAAAUCGUGGGAGAUUCAAAUGGUUAAAUACACACUUCAAGAUUUCAGAUUUCCACUCUUAUGAAGAAAGCUUGUUCUAAGUACUCUAAACAUGAUCUAGUCAGCAGGAACUAAUCAGUUAUUUGUUUAUUUAUUUAUAGUUUUUGUGAAUUUUCUUAGUAGGUUAUUUUUCAUAGAUGUGAAACCUAGUUUGAUCUGAUAUAUUCACUUUGAAGUCCCAUUAUAUUAGUGUUAGAUUUGUUAUUGGACGGUAUGAAACAUUAGUUUAGUCAAACUUGAACCCAUUCAUAAUAAAAAUUUUAAAAAGCAUUCACCGUGGCUAUCAAGAGCAUGUUUGUUUUUGCAUUUAAAAAAAAUAACAGAGAGACCAAUAUGCCAACAAGCUAUAAUAAUAGAACCCACGGGUUGAUUGAUCAAACCCUGACACCAAGAUCUGGGGACUGCUGAAGAACACCUUGAAAAAUCUUGCAUUUUACUCUUACUUUUUACAAGAGACAGAUGAACUGGUCAUCGCGCGCGACGUGUUCCCUACGGCCGAGAAUAAUGCAGUGGCUGUCAGUGUUGUUAGUGGUUGUGGAAAAUUACACGCUAUGACGAAGAAGAAGGUUGCUGCAUUCAUUCAUCGCUUGACCUGAUGAUGGCCCGAUGGGUCUUUCCAUGCAAUGUCUUCCCUACGGCAAAGACAGUGCGCCAUCAAUAUCAGUCUUGUUAGUGGUCGUAGAAAAUGACAUCUCAACCACACAUAAACAAGUUGCUAUUUUAACUUUAAUUUAAUAAUAAAUAAUAAAUAUGAUGGGUACAAAGGGGAGAAUAUACAUGAUAAACUUUUUUUGUUUUCCACAAUAAUAGAGACAUAGACAAAUGAAAUGGUCAUCGCAUGCAAUGUCUUUCCUACGGCAAAAACAGUGCCAUCAGUGUCAGUCUUGUUAAUGGUAGUAGAAAAUUCAAAGAGUGAGUGAAAUCCUUUGCUUUGUGGACCAAAAGCUGCAGUGAAGAUUUUUAAUCAUUUAGGUUUCACUGAUCAUUUCUUUAAUUUUGCUGUGUUUGUUUUUUAUAAAGUAAUUUUUGAAAAAUUAUUUUUUGAAAUUUUUUAUAUUUUUUGUUAUUAGAAAAAUUGGUCAAUAAAAAAUAUUUUCUGGUCAACAAAAAAUACUUUUCAGUCAAAGAAAAAUUUGACUUGGUUUUCAGGAAAGUGUUUUCCUUUUAUUUUGGGUGAAAAACACUUUCCGAAAAUUAUAAAAAAUUUUAAAAUAUCAUAUUAUUUGCUGAUUAUAUCAAAUUUGGUCAUCAAACUUUUGAUUGCUAUAUAUAUUUUGUUUUGAAUAUUUAUUUUUCAAUUUCAUCCCUUAGAAUUUAAUUUUUAUAUUAACUUUGGUCCUCAGUUUUAUAAUUGCUAUUUGAUUUUUCCUUAUCAUUUUUUAAUUAAAGUUUUUUAUCUAUCAAAUUUGGUACUCAUUCUUUUGAUUGUUACUUAUUUUAUUUGAAAUAAUUUAUGAAAUGUUAAUUAUUAUUAUUUUAAUUUCUUUAUCUUCCCAUUUUUUUUAUUUUUUAGAUUUGAUCUCUAUUAUUUUGAUUAUUAUUUAUUUUAUUUGAGAUAAUUUUUGAAAUUAUAUUUUUUUCAAUUUUAUUCUCAUUCAACUUUUUAUUUUGUAAGAUUUGUUCCUCGUUAUUUUAAUAAAUUUGAGAAAAAUAAAAUAUUAAUAAGUUAUUUUCCAGUUCAUUUUCCAUGACAAAACCAAAUACUGGAAAAUGUUUUCCAAUUUAUUUUCCAUCACACUACCAAACAUCGGGAAAUACUUUUUUGGAAUUCACUUUCCCGGAAUUCUCUUUCUUUGAAAUUCACUUUCCAAAAAAAAACUACUUUCCAGCAAAUAAACAAUGCUUAUAUAUAUAUGCUUAGAUUUCCUCAGCUUUAUAUAAGCAAAUAAACAAUGCUUAGAUUUCCUCAGCUGACUUCGAGUCAAGGCGUAGAGCUUCAAUUCCACGCAAUGGAUCCUGUGGUUUGGAUGGAAUUGGUCGUCGUCAUCACAUGAUUUUCCAUAUGUAAUAAAGUCUUCUUUAUUUGGCUUAUUGUCCCAUUGAUUCUUCGAGGAAAUUCCCAAGUUUUUGCUUUACAUCAAUAUUAAUUCAAUGGCUGGUAACACACAUGACUCUCGUCUCUCUGUUACGUUCCUUUUACUUUUCAACAUGGUUUUUAAACCCUAUCCAAGGAGCUUAUAUGACCUAACAACCACCAUUUUGAUGCCUAAUUGAUUUACAUGAUCUACAUUUAAAAGGUUAAAAAAACCAAAUCAUCUAAACCAUGCAAGUCUUGGCUUAGAGCCAGUGACUUUAUAAACAAAAUAUGAAACACAGAAAAACCAAAUCAAAGGAUGCCAAGAUGAUUUUCAUUCUCAAAUUGUGUCAUGAUGGGGCUUAGUUCUAGGAAUAAUACUGUCACUCCAUCUAUUGGACAUUGCGAGCAUCCUCUGAGAAUUAAGUUGCAUCGGUUUUCUUCUGUUAUAUGCUCCAGGUAUUGAUGCUCGUAGACGGAGAAAACAUAUGCAUAAAAAGCAUAGCUCAUGUUCUGCCAAAAUGUCAUAUAAGAUGAUUUUCAUUCUCAAAUUUCAACCUUGCCAUAUUAUUUUCUGUAUCAAGCUUGUUUUGAGUUUUGAGAGGAACUUAAUGAUCAGUCUUGUUACUGGUUGUGGAAAAUUACACGUUAUGACAAAGAAGAAGGUUGCUGCAUUCAUUCAUCGCUUGACCUGAUGAUGACUCGAUGGGCCACCUGCUAUGACAAAAGAAAAGAAAGCUGUUAACCGUGGUCAAAGCAUGUUUUUAGUUUUGAGAGGAACUUAAUGAUCAAUUAGUCAAUUGGGGCUGAAAAUUAAAAUUGAAAGAACAAGGACCAUAUUUAACAAAAAAAACUUUAGUCUACCUAAUUUGAAGUACAUACGAAUCGUUUCAAAGCUUCAGUCUAACUAACAAUUCCAGAGCAUUCACACAAAAUAAAUUCCAGAGCUACUCUGUUCAAGUUGACAUCUCCAGUUAACACGGGCUAAAUGAAAACUUUACCAUUUUCUGCCAUAUUCAACAGAUACUCCUACAAAUAACUUGCUGAAUAAACUUACGAUUUGAAGGAAGAUAUAUGAGAAAAAACUUGCUGAAUGCUGAAAGCAAAAUUGUGGAAUAAUGAUUUUUUUUCAUUACAUUGCUAUAAAGAACACAGCUUUUCAGACAUUAUUUUUACUACUGAGAUGAGAUAAGAUUGACCAUCUAACUCUUCCCUUUGAGAUGUAGAAACAAUGCAAAGUUGAGAUUUAUUUAUACCAAAGGCUUCCAAACUCUGAUCGUGAAUGGCUUAAGAAGAUUGUCCGCAACAAAGUAGUAGCAAGUGUUGAUGCUCUUCUCAAUGAAAUAAAACCAUGCUCGCCGCCAGUCUGGGUUUAUGUACAAAACUGCAGCUAUUCCCAACAACACAUGAUGUACGUCACAACAAAGCUCACACAGAAAACUUGUGCAUCAAUGAUGACACUACUCUCUUCUUUCUCAUCAGUAGAAGGCCCAGGUGGUGGUGGUGGUGGUACUUCUUUGGUACAGCUGUUAAGCAGUGGUGGUCCACAAAGUAAGGGAUUUCCCUCGUAGCUACUCUUAUUGAAUGUUGAGAAUUGUGCAACCAUCUCAGGAGCCUUACCAGACAGGUUAUUGUUGGCUACACUAAAAUAGGCAAGAAAAUGCAAUUGUACAAGUUGAGGAGGGAUUUCCCCAUUCAAGCUGUUAUUGGAAAGGUCCAUGCUCUCAACUUCACUCAAAUUUGAAAGAGUUUGUGGGAUUGAGCCUCUUAAAUGAUUGUUGGACAGGUUCAAUACACGAAUGUGGUGGAUAUUCCAAAUUUCAGGAGGAAUCGCACCUGACAAACUGUUGCAGGAGAGAUCCAAUCCGGUCAUGUAGUACAAAAUACUUGGCGGAUAAGAAUAAGACAGACUCUUUGUUGCAAUAACCAAUGGUUCUCGAAGAUUACUGAACCAAAAAACGCUUUUAAAUCUUAGGCAAGGUAGAAUAUGACCAGAAAAAGUUUUAUGAGAAAGAUCAAUGAACAUUAAUUUGUUCAACUUGCACAAUUGCGUGGGUAUACUGCCAUCAAGAUUAUUAUAACCCAAGAGAAGAAAGCUUAGUUGGGAAAACUCACCAAUCCAUUUUGGAAUGCUACCAGUCAAAUGAUUAUGGCUAAGAUCCAACGUUAUUAGCUCCAAGGAUUUCUGAAAUGCAUGUUCUAGGGAUCCUUGUAGCAUAUUUCGUGACAGAUAAACAUGCAAGAGGUGUGAAGAGUUAAAGAAAGAUGGUAAGGUUCUAGAGAUGUUGUUAUUUGAGAGGUCCAAAACUUGAAGAUACAACAGAAAGUCAAAUGAAGAGGGAACGCGACCACUGAAGUGGUUAUCAGACAUGUUUAAAAAUGUUAAACUUGGAAAAUAUGAUCCUAUGUCUCUAGGAAUGUGGCUUUCGAAGUUAUUGUUAGAAAUAUCUAAUUCAGACAAAUUCUGAUGAGGAUGAAUUGGCAAUUGAAAAGUCCCUGAAAGAGAAUUGUUGACCAAAUGGAGUUCAUUUAGGUUUGUGUUGUUCUCUAACAACCAAAUAGGAAACCCUCCCCUCAAUUUCAGGUUAGAAAAAUGAAUUUCUUGGAGGCUGUAUUGAUGGAGGAGGAAUUUGGGAAAGGAAAAUGCUCCACCAUAUCCAUUGCCAGAUAAACUAAGAGGCUCUACUUGGAACUUUAGGGCCAAAUUAUGCCCCUCAAAUUCUUCAACAUAUAUUUCGUUAUUGCUACCAUUGAAAUACUUGAGUUGUGAAUGGUUGAGAAAUGAGCUCAAUGAGACGGGAUCUGAAAGUGGUUGUCUGAAAGUGAUAACUCUCGGAUGGAUGUGAGACUUGUAAGAGGAGAGAAGGAAAUGUUCCAAUAAAGUUAUUGAAGACAAUAUAAUCCUUGAAGGGAUGUCAAAUUUGCCAAACACCAAGGGCAAAGCACCACUGAGAUCAUUCCCGCUGAUAUCUAGAUUUUGGAGAUGCUUUAACUGACAUAUGGCCUGAGAAUUUAUUGAUUCAAAAAUUUUAGUCAGAGAAGAAGCAGAACGCCUAAGGAGGGAAAGGUGGUCAGACUUACCUUGGGCUUUAGGGAUGGAGCCAUUGAGUCGACACCUCAAGCUUAAACUCUUUAGAGUAGUAAUCUUCCCGACUUUGCAGAAAGCUAUUAUCGACAGUGGAGGAAACUCAAAUCCAACUCUUCUAAAUUCUUGAGAGAAGCCAAGUCUACAAUAAUCAAACCCACAAGAAAUUAUGUUCGGUAUUCAAGAGCCGGAUAAUGAUAAGGAAACAAGAUUAUGAAACCAACAAGAAGCUCCAUUAUAAUGUCCCUGCUACAAUCAAUUAAAUUGCUAUAACUAGGAAAAUAUGAUUUAAAGCACGUUUACAAAGAAAAAAAGAACAAUUAACAGAUAUUUAGGAUCGCUUUUAGGCAUCAGUACCACAAAUUACCUUUAUCUAAUGUUGUUCCGAAACUUCCUUCAAGAUUAUUCUCAGCCAAAGAAAGGGUCCUGAGGUUUGGGAAUUUCGUCAACGAUUGCAGCAAUGUAAAUGGAAGAGCUCUUCCAUUUGAGGUGCUAUUAGAUAAUGAAAUGCGGCUUACAUUUUCAAAACCUCUAGUAUCUAUAGGGGACAGCAGAAGUAAAACAAGUUUUAAAACCUUCUGAGCUUUUAUUCCAGAGCAAAAUCAUCCUCGAAAAUACAAUUCAAUUAAUGAGAUUUUAGGUUGAUCAAGAGGUAAAGCUACCAUCAAUCCGUGUGGAAAGCAAUCAAUACCUUUGGAAAACACAAAUUUGUCAAUCUCGUUUCCCGCUAGAUCCAGGCUCUCUAAGUUGAUCAAAGCAUCCAGUUCUAGGUUGUCGGAAAACAGAAAUUUAAUAUUACGUCACAACAAAAAUCACAUAUUGGUUUCUAGGAAUCGAAAAAGGUGAGGUUACCAGUCACAUUGAAUGAUCCUUUCAGUUGGUUGUACGCUAUAUCCAGGUAUUUAAGAGAUGAAAGACCCUUGAGGGAUGAUAAGGUACUAUCAUUGAAGCGAUUACCAUUCAAACCAAGUUCUUCCAGAUUUCUUAACCUCGGUAAGUCGUCACCAGUACCUAUAAAAAUACCAUAAGCUUUCAUGUAACCUGAAAGGAUAAUGGAGUACUUAUGUGUGAAAACAAAUGCUCAGUCAACUCACAACUCUUUCAUACCAUGAAUGGAUUUAAAGCUUUCAAUUUCAUUGCCACCAAACUCCAACCACCACAAGCUUGUUAGAUUAUUCAGUUCUGGCCAAAUAUAAUUGUACCAAGUACAACAAUUAAAAAAAGGGCAGUAAUUAACAUGGCUUUAUUUGAGAAAGAAAAGGAGAGAAGUGAUCAAGCUUAAUUACCAUCAACACUAAUUGCUCCUUUGAGUUGGUUACCAUAUAGAUACAGGGUUCUCAAAGAGGAAAGCCGACCAAGGGAUGAAAGGAUGCUGUUGUCGAAUUUGUUUUCGGCUAAAUCGAGAACCUCCAAGCUGUCAAGUCCUGAUAGUCUUUCAAAACUUGCAUGGGCAUUUCAAUCAGUAGCUUGAAAAAUAUAGAAUCUAUUCUUUUCUUUUUUUCCUGUUGAAAUUGCAUUAGCACGCAAACAAGAGAUAAACCUUCAUUCUCAACACAGCCAACUAUAAAAUUUCCACUUAAAUCAAGAGAUUGCAGUUCUUGGAAGGGACGAAACAAAGAGACAUUUAGGUACAAAUCUCCCAAUCCCUCUUCCCUUAUGCGUGAAAGAUCAAGUACGACAACUCGUCCUGUAGUGAAAUUGCAGUGAACGCGUUCCCAAGUACAACAGUCGGCUCCUUUUCCCCAAGAUUGAAGGAAGAUUGAGUAAUUAAAGGAGCUUUUAAUCCGCAAGAGAGCACUUCUCUCUUCGUCUAAACAGCCGUGACAUGACCACCAGCUUUCUGACAAAACCAUAGCAUAAAUCAUCAGUGUCCCUGCUAAAGAAGAGAACCUGUUUAAACCCAUAUGCACUUCUCUCUUAUGUACCGAUAUUUUUUAUUGUCAUUCCAAGGCAAAGUGAAAAGUAAAAGGAACGUAAUAGAGGGGGGCAAUAUGCAUGAUGACGGAAUUUCCUGGCACUAUGGAUGAUGAUCUUUCUGCUGUGUUCUCUCUUCCUCCAAACACAAAUGGCACCACCACCCUGGUAAUAAAACCAUGAAGAUCAGCUUUAUCACUACUACAGAGAACCUGCUUAACCCAUUUGAAAUACUUGAUGAAUUAAAUUGUAUUCCACUGGCUUUGUACAAGCUGCUCUUUAUACUAUAAGACGAAUCAACACACUCGAUCUUAUGAUUGUUGUUGCUGUAGUAGCAGAUCGAUUUAAUUUACUGUUGUCUUUUACAAUGAAAACGUUGAGAAAGUGUUCGUUCAUGAAUUGUAAUAAACAGCCCACUUGUAUGGCACUGGAAUUCAAUUCCACGCUAUCGAUCCUGUGGUUUGGAUGGAAUUGGUCGUCGUCAUCACAUGAUUUUCCAUAUGUAAUAAAGUCUCCUUUAUUUGGCUUAUUGUCCCAUUGAUUCUUCGAGGAAAUUCCCAAGUUUUUGCUUUACAUCAAUAUUAAUUCAAUGGCUGGUAACACACAUGACUCUCGUCUCUCUGUUUCGUUCCUUUUACUUUUCACCAUGGUUUUUGAACCCUAUCCAAGGUUGAUCUGGAGCAAAUCCUGGAUUGUGGGUUAGGUGAAACUUGAGAAGGUUAUUUAUCAAGAAAUUCUCAAAUCCUACCAAUGUCUAUUCUAACUUAGCAACAUCGUCUUUUUAUUUGUUAAUAAUAUAUUUAAAUACAAAACAAGAUUCAAAUUAAUUUAAAUAAUAUAGUUAAAUGAAAACAAGAUUUCAAUUAAUUUCACUCUUUCUUUCAUUUUUAUUUUCAAAACCUUCACCAUUCUAAUCCUUCUCAGCUAUCAUGUCUCCCUUCUUUGAUAUUGUUAUCAAAUAGCAAAAGUGCAAAUAAUCAUGCUCUUGGAGAUAUCAAAAUUAUCCUACAAAUCAACAAUUCCAUUCAUAUAGGAUUUUAAAUUUUCUUGUUUCAAGAUUUGUUAGAUUAGUGUUAGAUUUGUUAUUGGACGGUAUGAAACAUUAGUUUAGUCAAACUUGAACCGAUUCAUAAUAAAAUUUUUAAAAAGCAUUCACUGUGGCUAUUAAAAACAUGUUUGUUUUUGUAUUUUUUUUUUUUAAAAAAACAGAGAGACCAAUUUGCCAACAAGCUAUAAUAAUAGAACCCACAGGUUGAUUGAUGAAACCCUGACCCCAAGAUCUGGGGACAGCUGAAGAACACCUUGAAAAAUCUUGCAUUUUACUCAUACUUUUUACAAGAGACAAAUGAACUGGUCAUCACGCGCGACAUGUUCCCUACGGCUGAAAAUUGGAUUUCAAUAAAUAUCUUCCCUUAUAUAGUAAUAACAACAACUAAAACAUAUAUAACAUUCACUAUUUUAAAAAAUAGUUAUUAUGGAUUGCGUUGUUUAUUUUGAAUAAUGAUUCUUUUCCAGAGCAUUCACACAAAAUAAAUUCCAGAGCUACUCUGUUACAAUUGACAUUUCCUCGAAUUAUAACACGGGGUAAAUGAAAACUUUUCCAUUUUCUGCCUUGUUCAACAGAUACUCCUACAAAUAAACUACACUAAGUUGCAUGCCUUGGGUUUGUCUUAGGUAUAUCCAAACUACAUUUAUUUAUACCAAAGGCUUCCAAACUCUGAUUCUGAAUGGCUUAAGAAGAUUGUCCGCAACAAAGUAGUAGCAAGUGUUGAUGCUCUUCUCAAUGAAAUAAAACCAUGCUCGCCGCCAGUCUGGGUCUACGUACAAAACUGCAGCUAUUCCCAAUAGCACCAUGAUGUACGUCAAAACAAAGCUCACACAGAAAACUUGUGCAUCAAUGAUGACGCUACUCUCUUCUUUCUCAUCAGUAGAAGGCCCAGGUGGUGGUACUUCUUUGGUGCAGCUGUUAAGCAGUGGUGGUCCACAAAGUAAGGGAUUUCCCUCGUAGCUGCUCUUAUCGAAUGUUGAGAAUGCUGCAACCAUCUCAGGAGUCUUACCAAAGAGGUUAUUGUUGGCUACAGUAAAAUAGACAAGAUAAUGCAAUUGUACAAGUUGAGGAGGGAUUUCCCCAUUCAAACUGUUAUUGGAAAG
This 20684-nucleotide long non-coding RNA is filed under the name Populus tremula. RNAcentral describes it as "long non-coding RNA (PTRE_LNC002593)". The record is from RNAcentral. Lineage: Eukaryota; Viridiplantae; Streptophyta; Magnoliopsida; Malpighiales; Salicaceae.